This is a long non-coding RNA of Symphalangus syndactylus (siamang), 1452 nucleotides long. RefSeq lists it as uncharacterized. Lineage: Eukaryota; Metazoa; Chordata; Mammalia; Primates; Hylobatidae. The record is from RefSeq and is a predicted model, not a curated record.
UUCUCCUGGUCCACCUAUCGGCUCUGAGGUUUAAACAUGGCGGCUCCUGUUUUCCUCUCAGCUCUGGUGCCAAACGGCAGUCCCACAGGCAUCAUUCCCAGAAAUGGUUAGGGUUAAUGGAACGAUUGUUAUCACGAGUGGCCAGAUUAUAUUUUUUGAUGUGAUACAGUCAAAACCCAGAGAACUUGGGUGGAUCCUUGGCAUUCCCUUCUUGGAUGGACCCUGUGAACAUGAAAACAAGACAGAAAAUGAAAACCAUGGCUUCAGGCUGCUAAAAACCUAACAUGAAACAAAACAGAAGAAUAACAACAAAAUAAGGUUGCUGACCAGACCUCAACAGUGAGGGAAUUUACCUCCCGCUUCAUGCAUGCAACAUCAAAAUAGAAGAGUGACCUAUGGGAUCCAUGGAGGAGCUGUUUCCCUAAUCUGUGUAAAGUAGAUCUUGCCAUGUAAUAGGGUGACUGCGACUGCACUGGCCAUGAAGAGGCACAACUCGGACCUCGGAUCUCCUGCUGCAGAGAACAUUGACUGACAGCCCAGCAGCUCCUGUCUGGAUCUACCACCUGUUCACAGUGAGGCCAAUGUCCCCCAGGCUGCUCCCAGACCAGGGCUGAGCAUGGCACGGUCCUAAUGCUCUUAAAGACCUCUAGAUCUCCCUAGAGAUGUAGGACUCUUCCAACAGGCCACUUUGGCUCAGGGCUCCCCAUCAGCUGGCCUAACCUUUCUAGGAACUGUGCUGUGGCUAAGGCUCUCUCAGCCCAACCCUGCCCUUCUCCCUCUCCUUCACAGGGGCCAGACCUGCACUUCCACCUGCAGGAUCUCUUUGCCUGCUUCUGCUCCCUCCCCUUUCCUUAACAUGGGCUCCCCAGUAAAUCGUUUACAUGUUUAAUCCUGACUCUGCAUCUGCUUCUCCAAGGACCCAAACUAACUCACAUACAGUAGAAAAUGAUUGACUUUUGACUUGGUCCUGGAUUCAUAUCUUGUCUCUGCCGCUUACUAACAACAUAAACUUCCAUCACUCAACCCCUCCUUAUUUUCCUCAUCAAUUAAAACAUUUCUUACUCCUAAAGUUAUGGUGAAUAUUGGAAGAGGUAAUUUUGGAAGAGCACCUGUGAUGUGCCUCCUAGAACAGGGAUAGUUUGUUCCUUUCUCGUCAUUAUCCUUUAGCAGUGAUGGAAUGGGACUCUAUGCUGCUGAGUUUUGAUAAGAGAUUGUAAGGAAGUGAGAGAGGAAGAAUACCAGCUGCGGCACAUGGCAAGUCUGCCUCCUGGGUCAGGUUCCCCUGACAGCUUUGGUGCCUGGGGCAUAAAGAUGCUGGGUGCCAGGGAAGGGAAGGAUAGGGCACUGGAGGGAGACCAAAUUCAAUCAUUUUAAAUCCAGUCCCCAGUUCUGUGCAAUUCUUAGUGUAAAGUUUUUAAAAAGAACAUUAAAGACAGUUACAAAGCCGAGAAA